AACCGCUAAUGUCAGUUAGGCGUAUGGUCAAUUUAGCUUCAACAAAAAGUAAAACUUAAAGUUAAGUGACUGGACAGUAACUACAUUAAGCUAACGCUAGCUUGCCAGGAGAUGUGAGGAGAGUGUACAACGUUGGAGAAGCAGAGGGAGGCGUGGCAGUCAGGUUAUUAUUGUCUGUGGAAGGUCUGCUGAAGGUCAAAGCAUGGCUGAGCAACAGAUCUCCUCUCCCUCUUUCUCUACCUCUUUCUCUCCCCUCCCCCACAUCAGAGAAAAGUCAUUCAGUCUCAUGCGUCUCUGCCGACGGACUGGGGUCCCCUCCUGACUUCUAUCAAAUGGCUGAGCUUCUGCCAAUGAACAGGACACCGCUUGGAUCAAUUCACCUUCUACCCUUCAUCUGUACAACUCAGGCGGUAACCAGUGAAGAGGAGGAGCCUCGUCAUCAAGCAGUGUACAUAAUCUGGUAUAUUUUAGAGGUGCUCAGACACCCAAGUGCCAUUUAUCAAAUAAAAACAUUGGAGAAUAUAGUAGUAGACUUCUCAGAAUAUGAAGCACAAA
Long non-coding RNA from Perca flavescens (yellow perch), 555 nucleotides. RefSeq lists it as uncharacterized. Lineage: Eukaryota; Metazoa; Chordata; Actinopteri; Perciformes; Percidae. The record is from RefSeq and is a predicted model, not a curated record. The transcript is spliced from 2 exons.